RNAcentral lists this ribosomal RNA (465 nucleotides) under uncultured bacterium. RNAcentral's name for it is "bacterial SSU rRNA". It matches the Rfam family "Bacterial small subunit ribosomal RNA", at positions 338 to 795 of the family's 1533-position model. The record is from RNAcentral.
CCUACGGGAUGCAGCAGUGGGGAAUAUUGCACAAUGGGCGCAAGCCUGAUGCAGCCAUGCCGCGUGUAUGAAGAAGGCCUUCGGGUUGUAAAGUACUUUCAGCGAGGAGGAGGGCGUUAAGGUUAAUAACCUUGGCGAUUGACGUUACCCGCAGAAGAAGCACCGGCUAACUCCGUGCCAGCAGCCGCGGUAAUACGGAGGGUGCAAGCGUUAAUCGGAAUUACUGGGCGUAAAGCGCACGCAGGCGGUUUGUUAAGUCAGAUGUGAAAUCCCCGGGCUCAACCUGGGAACUGCAUCUGAUACUGGCAAGCUUGAGUCUCGUAGAGGGGGGUAGAAUUCCAGGUGUAGCGGUGAAAUGCGUAGAGAUCUGGAGGAAUACCGGUGGCGAAGGCGGCCCCCUGGACGAAGACUGACGCUCAGGUGCGAAAGCGUGGGGAGCAAACAGGAUUAAAUACCCGCGUAGUC